AUACGGAGGGGGCUAGCGUUGUUCGGAAUCAUUGGGCGUAAAGGGCGCGUAGGCGGCCAGGCAAGUCGGUCGUGAAAUCCCUCGGCUUAACCGAGGAACUGCGGUCGAAACUGCCGGGCUUGAGUCCCGGAGAGGGUAGUGGAAUUCCCAGUGUAGCGGUGAAAUGCGUAGAUACUAGGAGGAACACCAGUGGCGAAGGCGGCUACCUGGACGGGUACUGACGCUGAGGCGCGAAAGCGUGGGGAGCAAACAGGAUUAGAAACCCUUGUAGUCC
This 274-nucleotide ribosomal RNA is filed under the name uncultured bacterium. RNAcentral describes it as "partial 16S ribosomal RNA". It matches the Rfam family "Bacterial small subunit ribosomal RNA", at positions 523 to 796 of the family's 1533-position model. The record is from RNAcentral.